Long non-coding RNA from Capsicum annuum, 527 nucleotides. RefSeq lists it as uncharacterized. The record is from RefSeq and is a predicted model, not a curated record. Lineage: Eukaryota; Viridiplantae; Streptophyta; Magnoliopsida; Solanales; Solanaceae. The transcript is spliced from 3 exons.
CCUGACUAAACUACCCUCCCUUCAUUCCCCAUCUUACUACCUUUUCCAUCUUCCCUCUAUAUAUCCCUCAAUUUUCACUUCCCAUUUUAUUCCAAAAAUAUCUUCUAAAUUCACUUCAAUUUCCACUCGAAGUUUCUUCAUCGAUUAUCAAAAUGUUUAACCGAGAAGAUGAGGAGAUGUUACUUCCACGUUCUGAUUUGUCUGAUGAAGGUCCUCAGCCUAAGGAAGAAUAUGGAAGGCUGCUGGAUCUUGUACACAUCUACUAGAGGGCCAUACUGAUGCAAUUACUUCUAUUUAUGUUGUCAAACCAAGAGGUAUCAGUGAGAGAUAGUUUCCCAGUUGCUCGUUUCUAGCAUUAUGCUUUAUCGUCUGCUGCCAUUAUCAUUUGUCUGUGACACCAUGUUUUGAGAUACGUUCAGGAGCUUUGAGAUACAUUCAUCAUGCUUCAUACUACCUACUUUUUGUAAUAGAUUGUUGCUUCUUAGCCUUUCAUUAUGAGAAGUAGUCACUGGUUCAUUGAUAAGAAA